Molecule: ribosomal RNA, 497 nt
Filed under: uncultured bacterium
Lineage: Bacteria
Description: partial 16S ribosomal RNA
Rfam family: Bacterial small subunit ribosomal RNA
Source: RNAcentral
GAUGAACGCUGGCGGCGUGCCUAAUACAUGCAAGUCGAGCGAACAGACGAGGAGCUUGCUCCUUCGACGUUAGCGGCGGACGGGUGAGUAACACGUAGGUAACCUACCUAUAAGACUGGGAUAACUUCGGGAAACCGGAGCUAAUACCGGAUAAUAUUUCGAACCGCAUGGUUCGAUAGUGAAAGAUGGCUUUGCUAUCACUUAUAGAUGGUCCUGCGCCGUAUUAGCUAGUUGGUAAGGUGACGGCUUACCAAGGCAACGAUACGUAGCCGACCUGAGAGGGUGAUCGGCCACACUGGAACUGAGACACGGUCCAGACUCCUACGGGAGGCAGCAGUAGGGAAUCUUCCGCAAUGGGCGAAAGCCUGACGGAGCAACGCCGCGUGAGUGAUGAAGGUCUUCGGAUCGUAAAACUCUGUUAUUAGGGAAGAACAAACGUGUAAGUAACUGUGCACGUCUUGACGGUACCUAAUCAGAAAGCCACGGCUAACUACGUG